This 220-nucleotide unclassified non-coding RNA is filed under the name Hevea brasiliensis (rubber tree). The record is from RNAcentral. Lineage: Eukaryota; Viridiplantae; Streptophyta; Magnoliopsida; Malpighiales; Euphorbiaceae.
GGGAUUUAGCGUUUUUUAUCCUCUUUUUUUAUGACUGCGGGACCCACAAUCCAUAUUAGCACCAAAUCUUAAAAAAAAAAAUGCAAGCCAAGUCAGCAAGUCAGCUUACACAUUAGUACCAUUAAUGUCAUUAAGCACUUUUUCACCAAAGUGUUAAUGACAGGAAAGUUUCAUCCUUGAAUUAUAACGAAACUUUUCAUCCUUGAAUUAUAACGAAACU